This 1315-nucleotide long non-coding RNA is filed under the name Phasianus colchicus (ring-necked pheasant). RNAcentral describes it as "lncRNA (ENSPCLG00000006233.1)". The record is from RNAcentral. Lineage: Eukaryota; Metazoa; Chordata; Aves; Galliformes; Phasianidae.
AUGAAACCGCAGCAAGCACCCAAAAAAUUCACUCUCUUUUUAUCAGCUUUCACCUUGCUGUGUUCAGAACUGCUCCCGGCCUGUGGCAGAUCACCAGGGCUUGCAACCGGAUAUUUUCUCAGUAAACAAAACCGAGUGCAGUGGAGACAAUUUGCUGAUCAGCGGAAAGACUGCAAAGCAAACCAGAGAGCUUCCAUCAACAUUUUGUGUUGGGGACCCCAAAGCGAAGCCUUUCCCUAUCCUCAUAGAGCUGCAGAUGUGUGCUAUGGGGCUGGGCUUUCCGGCAUUUCCUGCAUCUUUCUCUCAUUUUGGUGAAAUGGUGGUAAGUGGUUAUCCAGAAACAUCUCUGAGAAGGUUUCAUCUGCUGGGGAUGGCCAGAGCUCAGGGAUUGCUGUGCAAAACCUUAUUUGCUGCUCUCUGCAUCACUCACUGCUGUGGUUUCACACUUUAUUGACUGCCUCUGGGUCCCGACACUGGGGAUUCGGGGAAAGUAUUAAGUAACGACUUCUCAUGUCGUUUUGCUUCUCAUAUGAAGACUUCCUCCAAGCAUGAGUAUUAAAUUUGGAGGAAAGUCUGAAGAGCUUUGGAAAAUAUCAGUGGUUGCCCUCUGGCUGAGGCAUGGGAUGAGGACAUAAGAGCGUGUGCUGAAGGGUUGCUGUGGCCCCCAGUGCCAUGGGAUUUCCCUGGGAGCAGCUUUUGAUGAUGCAGGUGGCAGACCCUCCAUGGCAGGGACGGUUCUGUCAGCUCAGAGCCCUGUCAGGGACCAGGGCUGAUAUUUCCAAAGGUAACACUGGUUACAGCGUGAGAGAGAAGGAAAGCACUGGUUGGUAGUGCCCUCAAACAGCAUGGGGGCUGCAGUCCCGUCCCAAACAGGCUAUCCAGGAAAGUGAUAGAGUCAUCAUCCCUGAAGGUGUUCUAGAAACAUGGAGAUGUGGCACUGAGCGACAUGGUCAUAUCAGCCUUGUGGGGAUGGGUUGAUGGUUGUAUUUGAUGACCUUAGAGGUCAUUUCCAACCUCAAUGAUUCCAUGAUUAUAUGAUUCUAUAAUUCAGUGUUCCACUCUGUGCAAGAAGGUGGCAGAGACAGCAUGGCAAGGGGGCACAGGACCCUGGAGAUCCAUCAGCCACUGAAUUGCUGCCAGCAAAGAUCCUGGCGUUGUCACGCAUUUGUGAUUUGGGUUAUAUUUGGGUUAUUUGGCUAUAUUUAGGAACACAGUGACCUGCCAAGGUCAAAUACUGACUGGGUUGCAAAGAUGUUUGUGCUUUGCUACCAGCACUUGCAUUUGUAGCUAAGAGCACCCUAACCACACAGGACAG